CGGCGUGCCUAACACAUGCAAGUCGAACGGGGAUGUGCGGAAGCCUUCGGGCUAAAGCGCAUUCCAGUGGCGGACGGGUGAGUAACGCGUGAGGAACCUGCCUCGAACUGGGGGAUAACAGCGAGAAAUCGUUGCUAAUACCGCAUAAGACCACAUGGCCGCAUGGCCAAGGGGUCAAAGAUUAUAUCGGUUUGAGAUGGACUCGCGUCUGAUUAGCUAGUUGGUGGGGUAACGGCCUACCAAGGCAGCGAUCAGUAGCCGAGCUGAGAGGCUGAUCGGCCACACUGGGACUGAGACACGGCCCAGACUCCUACGGGAGGCAGCAGUGGGGAAUAUUGGGGACCAAGUGGGGGAAACCCUGACCCAGCAACGCCGCAUGAAGGAAGUAAGGUUUUCGGAUUGUAAACUUCUGUCCGUUGGGGACGAAACAAAUGACGGUACCCAAGGAGGAACGCCCCGGCUAACUACGUGCCAGCAGCGGC
RNAcentral lists this ribosomal RNA (482 nucleotides) under uncultured bacterium. Its description in RNAcentral is "bacterial SSU rRNA". It matches the Rfam family "Bacterial small subunit ribosomal RNA", at positions 40 to 518 of the family's 1533-position model. The record is from RNAcentral.